Molecule: unclassified non-coding RNA, 249 nt
Filed under: uncultured eukaryote
Lineage: Eukaryota
Description: partial contains 5.8S rRNA and ITS2
Source: RNAcentral
CUUUGCAUCUUUCCCUCACGUAUAUGUGAGUUCAAAAUCUUGAUGGGCGUUCAAAGUCUUUGCAUCUUUCCCUCACGUGUGCGUUCAAAAUCUUGAUGAGCGUUCAAAAUCUUUGCAUCUUUCCCUCACGUAUGUGCGUUCAAAAUCUUGAUGAGCGUUCAAAAUCUUUGCAUCUUUCCCUCACGUGUGCGUUCAAAAUCUUGAUGGGCGUUCAAAACUUUUGCAUCUUUCCCUCACGUAUAUGUGCGU